This is a long non-coding RNA of Clupea harengus (Atlantic herring), 501 nucleotides long. The record is from Ensembl. Lineage: Eukaryota; Metazoa; Chordata; Actinopteri; Clupeiformes; Clupeidae.
GGGCCAAAUCUGCCCAAAGAAUCACAUGCAUGGCCUCUUCUGGGAACGAGGCAGGGAACCAGAGAUACAGGGAGAGUACGUGGGGUAGAUUAACAUAGAGGUUAAAGUGUGAGUUGAUUAAUGGAGAGGUUAAAGUGUGAGUUGAUUAAUGGAGAGGUUAAAGUGUGAGUUGAUUAACGGAGAGGUUAAAGUGUGAGUUGAUUAAUGGAGAGGUUAAAGUGCGAGUUGAUUAAUGUAGAGGUUAAAGUGUGAGUUGAUUAAUGGAGAGGUUAAAGUGUGAGUUGAUUAAUGGAGAGGUUAAAGUGAGUUGGACUGAAGAGGUUAAAGUGUGAGUUGGACUGGAAGAGGGGGAGAUCUAGCUGCCCCACCAGCUAGUUUGCCCUGUAUUUCAUGGGUAAACUUAGACAUAAAAAAUAUCAGGCUGCCUGCGAUGGCUUAGAUAUUUUUACAGAUGCUAAAUUAGCCAGUGCCAUUACAAGUGUGUGUGUGUGUGUGUGUGUG